CAUGACUAGUCAAAGACCUUACAUCUAUUCUCUAACCGAGUUCUCCACCAGCACUCUGUGAAACAGCUGAGCCCUGAGCCCUAUUUCUGAGUGAGACAGCCCCACUGGGAUAUCUCAGGAACUGAAGCUGCUUGAUGGGGUAAUUUUCCUCUGAUAGCCCAUGAGAGACAUUACCGGGGUGAGAAGAGCUACGAGCUACCGAGCACAUGCUCAGUGCCAGGCCCUGUGCUCCUGUUUGUCGAGCACUGUCUUCCAUUUCUUCAGGUAACUGUGAGGCGGGCAUCGUGAUCC
This 291-nucleotide long non-coding RNA is filed under the name Equus caballus (horse). Its description in RNAcentral is "lncRNA (ENSECAG00000051207.1)". Lineage: Eukaryota; Metazoa; Chordata; Mammalia; Perissodactyla; Equidae. The record is from RNAcentral.